UUAAGUUCAGCGGGUAUUCCUACCUGAUCCGAGGUCAACCUUGAUAUAGAAGCGGUGGUGUCGUUUUUAGGCGACGCCACCAGAAGACCGGGUCUGAAGUUCUAACCUAGUACGUGCCCGAAAGCUCAGUGUACAGGAGUCCUCACAGACGCCGUCAUUAUCUUUGAGACGGGCAGGGCCCGAAGGCUCCGCCGGACGUC
Molecule: unclassified non-coding RNA, 200 nt
Filed under: Chaetothyriales sp.
Lineage: Eukaryota; Fungi; Ascomycota; Eurotiomycetes; Chaetothyriales
Description: partial internal transcribed spacer 2
Source: RNAcentral